This 497-nucleotide ribosomal RNA is filed under the name uncultured bacterium. Its description in RNAcentral is "partial 16S ribosomal RNA". It matches the Rfam family "Bacterial small subunit ribosomal RNA", at positions 28 to 507 of the family's 1533-position model. The record is from RNAcentral.
GAUGAACGCUGGCGGCGUGCCUAACACAUGCAAGUCGAGCGAACAGACGAGGAGUUUUCUCGUCUGACGUUGGCGGCGGACGGGUGAUUAACACGUGUAUAACCUACCUAUAAGACUGGGGUAACUUCGCGAAACCGGAUCUAAUACCCGAUAACAUGUUGAACCUCAUGGUUCAACAGUGAAAGACGGUCUUGCUGACACUAAUAGAUGGAUCCGCGUCGCAUUAGCUAGUUGGUAAGGUAACGGCUUACCAAGGCUACGAUGCGUAGCCGACCUGAGAGGGUGAUCAGCCACACUGGAACUGAGACACGGUCCAGACUCCUACGGGAGGCAGCAGUAGGGAAUCUUCCGCAAUGGGCGAAAGCCUGAUGGAGCAACGCCGCGUGAGUGAAGAAGGUCUUCGGAUCGUAAAGCUCUGUUAGUAGGGAAGAAGAAAAGUGUAAGUAACCAUGCACGUCUUGACGGUACCUAAACAAAAAGCAACGGCUAACUACGUG